UACGGGGGGAGCAAGCGUUGUUCGGAUUUACUGGGCGUAAAGGGCGCGUAGGCGGUCGUGACAAGUCACUUGUAAAAUCUCCGGGCUUAACUCGGAACGGUCAAGUGAUACUGUCGGACUAGAGUACAGAAGGGGCAACUGGAAUUCUCGGUGUAGCGGUGAAAUGCGUAGAGAUCCGGAGGAACACCGACGGCGUAGGCAGCGCCCUGGACGACACCUGACGCUGAGGCACGGAAAGCUGGGGGAGCGAACAGG
RNAcentral lists this ribosomal RNA (255 nucleotides) under uncultured bacterium. RNAcentral's name for it is "partial 16S ribosomal RNA". It matches the Rfam family "Bacterial small subunit ribosomal RNA", at positions 524 to 776 of the family's 1533-position model. The record is from RNAcentral.